This 452-nucleotide ribosomal RNA is filed under the name uncultured bacterium. RNAcentral's name for it is "bacterial SSU rRNA". It matches the Rfam family "Bacterial small subunit ribosomal RNA", at positions 791 to 1243 of the family's 1533-position model. The record is from RNAcentral.
UAGUCCACGCCGUAAACGAUGAUCACUCGCUGUCUGCGAUACACAGUAGGCGGCUGAGCGAAAGCAUUAAGUGAUCCACCUGGGGAGUACGAUCGCAAGGUUGAAACUCAAAGGAAUUGACGGGGGCCCGCACAAGCGGAGGAACAUGUGGUUUAAUUCGAUGAUACGCGAGGAACCUUACCUGGGCUUAAAUGUAGAUUGCAUAUCUUAGAAAUAGGAUUUCCCUUCGGGGCUAUUUACAAGGUGCUGCAUGGUUGUCGUCAGCUCGUGCCGUGAGGUGUCGGGUUAAGUCCCAUAACGAGCGCAACCCCUAUCGUUAGUUGCUAGCAGGUAAUGCUGAGGACUCUAGCGAGACUGCCACCGUAAGGUGAGAGGAAGGUGGGGGAUGACGUCAAGUCAUCAUGGCCCUUAUGGGGCAGGGGCUACACACGUGCUACAAUGGCCGGUACAGA